GUCUCAAACUUUUGGUCUGCAAACGGCAUGCAGUUUUAAGCGCCCGCGAAGACAUUUCAGUUAUGUAUAUGUUGGAAAUAUGAUGUUGGAAAGAUUUCAAAAUUUUAGUUACAGAGCAUUUAUUAGACCAAAACCAAUCGGACCUCCUGUCUGUACUAUGUGGUGACUGUACAACUUUGUGCUCGUCCCGACGACGUAUCUUUCAAGCGUCUGCUUUGUCAACUGCCGAUGAUAGGCUAUCCGCCUAUGAUGAUGGUAACGGUUAAAUCAAGAUUCGAUUCCGGAGACGGAGGAGAAACAGCUUUCACAUCCAAGGAAGGCAGCAAGCGCGCAAAUAAGCCACUCCCAGAAUGGGGAGGUGACGAUGAAAAAUAACAAUACGGCCAUUCUUUAGAAUCCCCAUAACAUGAAUAAGUAUACUCUAAAUCCUUAACGAGGAUCAGUUGGAGGGUAAGUGUGGUGCCAGCGCUCGCUGGAACCCCAGCUCCUAU
Molecule: non-coding RNA, 491 nt
Filed under: Stegodyphus mimosarum
Lineage: Eukaryota; Metazoa; Arthropoda; Arachnida; Araneae; Eresidae
Description: Eukaryotic small subunit ribosomal RNA
Rfam family: Eukaryotic small subunit ribosomal RNA
Source: Rfam by way of RNAcentral